GCCUCCCCAGGAGAGCCCCUCACAAGUGCAGGGACACAAGGAAAGGAGCCCAUUUGCAAUGGCAGCACUGAAGGAGAAGCGGCCCAAAGCUGAGCGCCCUGGGGAGGGUGGCCUCAGAGCGGCCUCCACCAUGAGGCAGAUCUGUCCUUCAACCUCCUGCCUUGGGUCUCAAGGCACAAGGAGAGAUGUCCUACCAUGGUCAGGUGCCACCACCGAACGAGGCGCUGCUCCCUCAAGACCCUGCAGGGCACACCUCCCGACAGCCACAAGGCAUUUGUGCCACUCACCCGUUUUGAAAAUCGUUAUUAGACAAGCAUUGCCAUAUUACAAGACACCCAGACUGACUCCCUCCUGCAUGGUAGGCCUUGGGCAUGAACAAGCAGGGGUGAAACCUGUCAUUUCAAGUGUACAGUGUGCUGGCAAAUAUUCAUGAGCUGCCUCCUAAGUUUAAAAUACCCAUUAGUAAAACCAGAUUGGAAGGAACAACACCCUGCAGGUGGCAAGAUGGAAAUAGGAUGAUGCUAAAAUAAUGCUAGAAGAAAGAGGAAAACUGAAGGACAAGCAAACUGCACUUGCUUGCGUCUCAGGCAGGGAAUAGAUGCUAUUGCUGGACACUUUUCCAUUCUCUCAUCACUUCUUUCCUUGUUGCAGUUAUUUUAUGCCCAUGCUCAGCUCAGGAUUGGGACUUGUCAAGAAUUUAGCACACGCUUGGGAACAACAGAAGUUGCAGUAAUAGAUUGUGCAUUUUAACAGAAAAAAAUUGCAUCUCUGUGUUUUUCUGCUAAGCCAGAAAAACCAUGACUAAGUCUCAAUUUUAAUCUGUUGAAUGGUGCAAGAGGACCUUAGUUGUUUGAAUUUCUGCACCACAUCUGCUUUCCUAGCAGUGGAAAUAUUGAGGUGUAGAGAAUCAGGAUGAUUCAGAACAUGGGAGCAUGCCAUGUUAAAUAUACAAUAGACCUCAAUUUUAGCAGCAUUCAAAUAGGAUGUCGUUUCAUCCUUGCACUAAUUGAAAUCAAUCUGAAGGAGUCAGAGCUUUUGAGAGCUAAAAAUCAUAAUUGCUUUCUUAAAGGCAGCACCCUGUGUAAAAUUAAAUGCACUUUUCCAACAGCUUCACUAAUGCAGCGUUUGAUUGGCCCUUGAGGAUUCCUGGAGAUAUUUGUCAUUCAGCAUGGAAUCAGGUCAGCAGCUAAAAUUAACCACCCAUCUCUCCCCUGUUCAGCACGUAGAAUCACUGCUUUUGGUACUGCUCAGCUUGGGCCUUCCAAAAUGGGUGGGUUCUUACUACGAACCUAAAUUAUGCCUUAACAAGGAAUAUUGAUGGAUACAAUCAUUCCUAUUCUGAAAUGAAACUGUUGGGAAUCAGACUCACAGUCCCUUUGACUCCAGCCUGCAUUGAUUGGUUCUUGGGCAGCCUACCAACCGGGUGCUGCCUCUUACAGCAUCCACUGUUAAUCUGCCUAAGCGAGGCCUGCAAGCCCUACAGAAACUACAAUUUCUCUUCAUUAGUGUGAUUCUGCCUGCAUGAAUCUGAUAACAUAUGGGAUAUUAUCAUAAAACAGCCUAUUUCUCCAAUUCAUUUUCUCUUUUAUGAAGAUUAUGAAAUGUACUGCAAGUGCAUCAGGCAGAAUAAAACUGGAGAUUCUACUAUACAAUUUAUCUUUGAUUCGGUUUCUAAAAUGCAAACAGCCUCACUUUUAAGGUCACAUUUCCCAAUACUACCAUGCUAAUACAUUAUGAAAACUGCUGACUCUCUCUUCUGUUUCCUCCAGUUCACUACAGGCCUGAUGUAUAACACAAGUCACUUGGCCCAAGGAUGGGAGUUUAAUGUUCAGAGCCAGCAGAUGCAGUACGAUGGAAAAAACCUGGAGGGCUUCCUCAUGAUAAUGAACUUCCUGAGAUGUACAUGCUCGAUCAGCUCAGUACAGGAAUUUGGAGACCUGGCCGGGGUAAGGAACACACACUCUGGCACAGAUGCCCACCCCACUUGGUUGUCAUCAUACCCAGAAUGCACAGGGGAAAUCAUGCAUAGGCAAAGCGUAUGGUGAGUCGAGUGAAGCUUUACCUCCCCUAGUUAGUCAUUACCUAAAGCAGGGGUGCAUUGGAGGGAGUAAAAAGCCUUUAACAAUAACUCUUUGCCCUUCUGUUUAAGCAUUCCUGGACAAACAACAGUCAUUUUUCUGCUUUAACCUCGUCUAAUGUAAGGAGGGGGUGGUAUAGCUGUUGGAAUGAGAUUAUCAAGCUUGUUAUGGAUCUAGCUGGAGGAGGAUAAAUAUCAUUAACUUGAGAGUAGCAUCCAGUAUUGAUAAAGACACUUCAAGGAGUCAGCUUUUGUGAUCAACCUGUAAGUCUGCCAGCUGAAAGGAAAGUAAGCUCCUUAUGAUCAGUCCCCAUAUUUUUCCUUACAAAAAGGUAGUGUGGAAUUCAGGAAUGAAAUGAAUCAUGAACUGAGAGAAGCUGGCUUAAGGAGAUAACCUGCCUUUCUUCCUGAGCUGCUGCAAGAGGAGGAUGUUUAUGCCUACACUGCCAGUUAAAGCCUGGGAGUUUGGUAGAGGGGUUUUCACUCCUCCCAAAAAAACGGGUUAUAAGGUUGGGGCCUGCCACACUGACAUCUUCUCUCCUUCAGGUGUCUUGAUCUGUUAGCAUAAAUAUACUCAAGUGUUUGGUUUUUAUUCUCUGUUGAAGCCAGAACAAUAAGAGAAAUAAGAACUUCAUUUCCUUUGAAUAGAUCUGGUUCAUAUCAGGCUUUAAAUCUGGAGUAAGCUCUUAUUCUGAGUUUGAUAUGAACUUAAUAUACAGCACUGGCUAUUGUAUGUUGUCUUCCUAUU
Molecule: long non-coding RNA, 2825 nt
Organism: Gavialis gangeticus (Gharial)
Lineage: Eukaryota; Metazoa; Chordata; Crocodylia; Gavialidae
Exons: 4
Source: RefSeq, a predicted model, not a curated record